This 501-nucleotide ribosomal RNA is filed under the name uncultured bacterium. Its description in RNAcentral is "bacterial SSU rRNA". It matches the Rfam family "Bacterial small subunit ribosomal RNA", at positions 74 to 572 of the family's 1533-position model. The record is from RNAcentral.
GCUUGCUUUUUUGCUGACGAGUGGCGGACGGGUGAGUAAUGUCUGGGAAACUGCCUGAUGGAGGGGGAUAACUACUGGAAACGGUAGCUAAUACCGCAUAACGUCGCAAGACCAAAGAGGGGGACCUUCGGGCCUCUUGCCAUCGGAUGUGCCCAGAUGGGAUUAGCUAGUAGGUGGGGUAACGGCUCACCUAGGCGACGAUCCCUAGCUGGUCUGAGAGGAUGACCAGCCACACUGGAACUGAGACACGGUCCAGACUCCUACGGGAGGCAGCAGUGGGGAAUAUUGCACAAUGGGCGCAAGCCUGAUGCAGCCAUGCCGCGUGUAUGAAGAAGGCCUUCGGGUUGUAAAGUACUUUCAGCGGGGAGGAAGGGAGUAAAGUUAAUACCUUUGCUCAUUGACGUUACCCGCAGAAGAAGCACCGGCUAACUCCGUGCCAGCAGCCGCGGUAAUACGGAGGGUGCAAGCGUUAAUCGGAAUUACUGGGCGUAAAGCGCACGC